This 253-nucleotide ribosomal RNA is filed under the name uncultured bacterium. RNAcentral's name for it is "partial 16S ribosomal RNA". It matches the Rfam family "Bacterial small subunit ribosomal RNA", at positions 524 to 776 of the family's 1533-position model. The record is from RNAcentral.
GACAGAGGUGCCAAGCGUUAGGCGGAAUCACUGGGCUUAAAGCGUGUGUAGGCGGAGUGCUAAGUACCUUGUGAAAUCCCACAGCUUAACUGUGGAACUGCUUGGUAUACUGGGUGUCUUGAGUCACUCAGGGGCGAGCGGAACAAAUGGUGGAGCGGUGAAAUGCGUAGAUAUCAUUUGGAACGCCAAUGGUGAAAACAGCUCGCUGGGGGUGCACUGACACUGAGACACGAAAGCCAGGGGAGCGAACGGG